RNAcentral lists this ribosomal RNA (800 nucleotides) under uncultured bacterium. RNAcentral describes it as "bacterial SSU rRNA". It matches the Rfam family "Bacterial small subunit ribosomal RNA", at positions 8 to 823 of the family's 1533-position model. The record is from RNAcentral.
AGAGUUUGAUCCUGGCUCAGAAUGAACGUUGGCGGCGUGGAUUAGGCAUGCGAGUCGCGCGAGAAUGUAGCAAUACAGGAAAGCGGCGGAAGGGAGAGGACAACAUGGGAAACUGCCCUGGGGACGAGGAUAGCGUCGGGAAACUGACGGUAAUACUCGAUAAUGUUUGCGGACCAAAGGUGUGAUUCCGCCCCAGGAUGUGCCCAUGCCCCAUUAGCUAGUUGGCGGUGUAAUGGACCACCAAGGCUAUGAUGGGUAGCUGGUGUGAGAGCACGACCAGCCUCACUGGCACUGAGACACUGGCCAGACACCUACGGGUGGCUGCAGUCGAGAAUCUUCGGCAAUGGACGAAAGUCUGACCGAGCGACGCCGCGUGCGGGAUGAAGGCCUUCGGGUUGUAAACCGCUGUCGAGGGGAAUCAAAUGCAAGGGGGUUCUCCCCCCUGCUUGAGAGAACCCUGGAGGAAGGGGAGGCUAAGCUCGUGCCAGCAGCCGCGGUAAGACGAGCUCCCCAAACGUUAUUCGGUAUCACUGGGCUUAAAGAGUUCGUAGGCGGCGAAGUAGGUGAGGUGUGAAAGCCCUCGGCUCAACCGAGGAACUGCGCUUCAAACCGCUUUGCUAGAGGGAGAUAGGGGUAAGCGGAACAGAUGGUGGAGCGGUGAAAUGCAUUGAUAUCAUCUGGAACACCGGUGGCGAAAGCGGCUUACUGGGUCUUUUCUGACGCUGAGGAACGAAAGCUAGGGUAGCGAACGGGAUUAGAUACCCCGGUAGUCCUAGCCGUAAACGAUGAGCACUAGUCUG